Molecule: ribosomal RNA, 1391 nt
Filed under: Streptomyces sp.
Lineage: Bacteria; Bacillati; Actinomycetota; Actinomycetes; Kitasatosporales; Streptomycetaceae
Description: bacterial SSU rRNA
Rfam family: Bacterial small subunit ribosomal RNA
Source: RNAcentral
UGCAGUCGAACGAUGAACCGCUUUCGGGCGGGGAUUAGUGGCGAACGGGUGAGUAACACGUGGGCAAUCUGCCCUGCACUCUGGGACAAGCCCUGGAAACGGGGUCUAAUACCGGAUAUGACUGUCCAUCGCAUGGUGGAUGGUGUAAAGCUCCGGCGGUGCAGGAUGAGCCCGCGGCCUAUCAGCUUGUUGGUGAGGUAGUGGCUCACCAAGGCGACGACGGGUAGCCGGCCUGAGAGGGCGACCGGCCACACUGGGACUGAGACACGGCCCAGACUCCUACGGAAGGCAGCAGUGGGGAAUAUUGCACAAUGGGCGAAAGCCUGAUGCAGCGACGCCGCGUGAGGGAUGACGGCCUUCGGGUUGUAAACCUCUUUCAGCAGGGAAGAAGCGAAAGUGACGGUACCUGCAGAAGAAGCGCCGGCUAACUACGUGCCAGCAGCCGCGGUAAUACGUAGGGCGCAAGCGUUGUCCGGAAUUAUUGGGCGUAAAGAGCUCGUAGGCGGCUUGUCACGUCGGUUGUGAAAGCCCGGGGCUUAACCCCGGGUCUGCAGUCGAUACGGGCAGGCUAGAGUUCGGUAGGGGAGAUCGGAAUUCCUGGUGUAGCGGUGAAAUGCGCAGAUAUCAGGAGGAACACCGGUGGCGAAGGCGGAUCUCUGGGCCGAUACUGACGCUGAGGAGCGAAAGCGUGGGGAGCGAACAGGAUUAGAUACCCUGGUAGUCCACGCCGUAAACGGUGGGCACUAGGUGUGGGCAACAUUCCACGUUGUCCGUGCCGCAGCUAACGCAUUAAGUGCCCCGCCUGGGGAGUACGGCCGCAAGGCUAAAACUCAAAGGAAUUGACGGGGGCCCGCACAAGCGGCGGAGCAUGUGGCUUAAUUCGACGCAACGCGAAGAACCUUACCAAGGCUUGACAUACACCGGAAACGUCUGGAGACAGGCGCCCCCUUGUGGUCGGUGUACAGGUGGUGCAUGGCUGUCGUCAGCUCGUGUCGUGAGAUGUUGGGUUAAGUCCCGCAACGAGCGCAACCCUUGUCCCGUGUUGCCAGCAGGCCCUUGUGGUGCUGGGGACUCACGGGAGACCGCCGGGGUCAACUCGGAGGAAGGUGGGGACGACGUCAAGUCAUCAUGCCCCUUAUGUCUUGGGCUGCACACGUGCUACAAUGGCCGGUACAAUGAGCUGCGAUACCGCGAGGUGGAGCGAAUCUCAAAAAGCCGGUCUCAGUUCGGAUUGGGGUCUGCAACUCGACCCCAUGAAGUCGGAGUCGCUAGUAAUCGCAGAUCAGCAUUGCUGCGGUGAAUACGUUCCCGGGCCUUGUACACACCGCCCGUCACGUCACGAAAGUCGGUAACACCCGAAGCCGGUGGCCCAACCCCUUGUGGGAGGGAGC